RNAcentral lists this ribosomal RNA (520 nucleotides) under uncultured bacterium. RNAcentral's name for it is "bacterial SSU rRNA". It matches the Rfam family "Bacterial small subunit ribosomal RNA", at positions 120 to 674 of the family's 1533-position model. The record is from RNAcentral.
GGGAAUCUACCCAUCCCUACGGAACAACUCCGGGAAACUGGAGCUAAUACCGUAUACGCCCUUCGGGGGAAAGAUUUAUCGGGGAUGGAUGAGCCCGCGUUGGAUUAGCUAGUUGGUGGGGUAAUGGCCUACCAAGGCGACGAUCCAUAGCUGGUCUGAGAGGAUGAUCAGCCACACUGGGACUGAGACACGGCCCAGACUCCUACGGGAGGCAGCAGUGGGGAAUAUUGGACAAUGGGCGCAAGCCUGAUCCAGCCAUGCCGCGUGAGUGAUGAAGGCCCUAGGGUUGUAAAGCUCUUUCAACGGUGAAGAUAAUGACGGUAACCGUAGAAGAAGCCCCGGCUAACUUCGUGCCAGCAGCCGCGGUAAUACGAAGGGGGCUAGCGUUGUUCGGAAUUACUGGGCGUAAAGCGCACGUAGGCGGAUAUUUAAGUCAGGGGUGAAAUCCCGGGGCUCAACCCCGGAACUGCCUUUGAUACUGGGUAUCUCGAGUCCGAGAGAGGUGAGUGGAAUUCCGAGU